AGGCACGUAGCUCAGUUGGUUAGAGCGCUUGCUUGACAGGCAAGAGGUCAACAGUUCAAGUCUGUUCGUGCCUACCA
RNAcentral lists this transfer RNA (77 nucleotides) under Deltaproteobacteria bacterium. RNAcentral's name for it is "tRNA-Val". It matches the Rfam family "tRNA". From Rfam's summary of the family: Transfer RNA (tRNA) molecules are approximately 80 nucleotides in length. Their secondary structure includes four short double-helical elements and three loops (D, anti-codon, and T loops). Further hydrogen bonds mediate the characteristic L-shaped molecular structure. tRNAs have two regions of fundamental functional importance: the anti-codon, which is responsible for specific mRNA codon recognition, and the 3' end, to which the tRNAs corresponding amino acid is attached (by aminoacyl-tRNA synthetases). tRNAs cope with the degeneracy of the genetic code in two manners: having more than one tRNA (with a specific anti-codon) for a particular amino acid; and 'wobble' base-pairing, i.e. permitting non-standard base-pairing at the 3rd anti-codon position. Lineage: Bacteria; Pseudomonadati; Myxococcota; Myxococcia. The record is from RNAcentral.